Molecule: ribosomal RNA, 1433 nt
Filed under: Lactiplantibacillus plantarum
Lineage: Bacteria; Bacillati; Bacillota; Bacilli; Lactobacillales; Lactobacillaceae
Description: bacterial SSU rRNA
Rfam family: Bacterial small subunit ribosomal RNA
Source: RNAcentral
CAUGCAAGUCGAACGAACUCUGGUAUUGAUUGGUGCUUGCAUCAUGAUUUACAUUUGAGUGAGUGGCGAACUGGUGAGUAACACGUGGGAAACCUGCCCAGAAGCGGGGGAUAACACCUGGAAACAGAUGCUAAUACCGCAUAACAACUUGGACCGCAUGGUCCGAGCUUGAAAGAUGGCUUCGGCUAUCACUUUUGGAUGGUCCCGCGGCGUAUUAGCUAGAUGGUGGGGUAACGGCUCACCAUGGCAAUGAUACGUAGCCGACCUGAGAGGGUAAUCGGCCACAUUGGGACUGAGACACGGCCCAAACUCCUACGGGAGGCAGCAGUAGGGAAUCUUCCACAAUGGACGAAAGUCUGAUGGAGCAACGCCGCGUGAGUGAAGAAGGGUUUCGGCUCGUAAAACUCUGUUGUUAAAGAAGAACAUAUCUGAGAGUAACUGUUCAGGUAUUGACGGUAUUUAACCAGAAAGCCACGGCUAACUACGUGCCAGCAGCCGCGGUAAUACGUAGGUGGCAAGCGUUGUCCGGAUUUAUUGGGCGUAAAGCGAGCGCAGGCGGUUUUUUAAGUCUGAUGUGAAAGCCUUCGGCUCAACCGAAGAAGUGCAUCGGAAACUGGGAAACUUGAGUGCAGAAGAGGACAGUGGAACUCCAUGUGUAGCGGUGAAAUGCGUAGAUAUAUGGAAGAACACCAGUGGCGAAGGCGGCUGUCUGGUCUGUAACUGACGCUGAGGCUCGAAAGUAUGGGUAGCAAACAGGAUUAGAUACCCUGGUAGUCCAUACCGUAAACGAUGAAUGCUAAGUGUUGGAGGGUUUCCGCCCUUCAGUGCUGCAGCUAACGCAUUAAGCAUUCCGCCUGGGGAGUACGGCCGCAAGGCUGAAACUCAAAGGAAUUGACGGGGGCCCGCACAAGCGGUGGAGCAUGUGGUUUAAUUCGAAGCUACGCGAAGAACCUUACCAGGUCUUGACAUACUAUGCAAAUCUAAGAGAUUAGACGUUCCCUUCGGGGACAUGGAUACAGGUGGUGCAUGGUUGUCGUCAGCUCGUGUCGUGAGAUGUUGGGUUAAGUCCCGCAACGAGCGCAACCCUUAUUAUCAGUUGCCAGCAUUAAGUUGGGCACUCUGGUGAGACUGCCGGUGACAAACCGGAGGAAGGUGGGGAUGACGUCAAAUCAUCAUGCCCCUUAUGACCUGGGCUACACACGUGCUACAAUGGAUGGUACAACGAGUUGCGAACUCGCGAGAGUAAGCUAAUCUCUUAAAGCCAUUCUCAGUUCGGAUUGUAGGCUGCAACUCGCCUACAUGAAGUCGGAAUCGCUAGUAAUCGCGGAUCAGCAUGCCGCGGUGAAUACGUUCCCGGGCCUUGUACACACCGCCCGUCACACCAUGAGAGUUUGUAACACCCAAAGUCGGUGGGGUAACCUUUUAGGAACCAG